RNAcentral lists this long non-coding RNA (1263 nucleotides) under Heterocephalus glaber (naked mole-rat). RNAcentral's name for it is "lncRNA (ENSHGLG00000043912.1)". The record is from RNAcentral. Lineage: Eukaryota; Metazoa; Chordata; Mammalia; Rodentia; Bathyergidae.
GACCUCAAUUAAAAUCUUUUCCCCUGAAUUAUGGCUUCUCAGUGACCUGCUGGGGGACACAAAGAGAUUCAUCCACCCUGGGCAUAUUUCCUGAGUCUUGGGACUCAGGAAGUACAGCUAUGCAUCACUUAAGGACAAGGACAUAUUCUAAGAAAUGUGUUCAAGAGACUUUGUCACCAUGUGAAUGAACAUGAAGGAGUGCACGUGUACAGCCUAGAUAACAUGCCCUACUUCACACCUAUGCUGUAUGGAAUUUAGAUGUGGUGCACCUACUGCUCCUGGGGCUGUGAUGAACAAAACAACCCAAGAGUAAAUGAAGCACAAGAAAACAUGAUGCAACUGAGUCACAGCAGACAUGAGAAAACAUUGGGGAAAUUUCCUUGGCAAUGGUCUUGGCAGUAACUCUUUAGAUGAUACUAAAAGUAGAGGGAAUAAAAGCAAAAAUAUCUAAGUAAGAUUACCUCAAACUACAAAUAUUUUAUACAGCAAGAGAAUGAAAAAGAAGAUCCAAAGACUGGGAGAAAAUAUUUGCAAUCUCUAUGUAUGACAAACGGCUAAUAUCUAAAAUGUGUAAGGAACUCCUAUAACUCAACAGCAGAAAAACAAAUAACCCAAUUAAAAAUGGUCAAAGGACUUGAAGAAACAUUUCUCCAAAGAAGAUAUACAAAUGGCCAAAAGGUAUAUGAAAAAAGGCUCAGCACUAGUUGUCAGGGAAAUGCAAAUCAAACCCUCAGUGAACCAUCACGUCACACUGGUUAGGAAGGCUAUUAUCAAAAAGACUAAAGACAGUAAGUGUUGAGGGUGUGGAGAAAAGCCUCUGUAUAUUGUUGGUGGGAAUGUAAAUUAGCACAGUCAUAUGGAAAACAGCAGGGAGCCUCUCAAAGCAUGAUGCAGAACUACCAUAUAAUCCAGCAAUCCCUCCUCAGGUAUGUAGCCAAAUGAAUUGAAAUCAAGAUCUCAAAGAGAUAUCUGUACUCAUGGUCAGUGCAAUAUUCACAGUAGCCAAGAUAGGGAAACAACGAAAGUAUCCAUCAGUGAAUGGCUGAAUAAAGAAAAUGUGGCAUAUUCACACAAUGGAAUAUUGUUCAACCUUUAAGAAAGAAAAUCCUGUGGUUCUGCUGCCUGCCUCAAAAGCACAAGGUCCCAAGUUCGAUCCCUGGUACCCCCCAAAAAAGAAAGAAAAUCCUGCCAUUUGUAAUAUUAACAAACCUGGAAGAUAUUAUGUUAAAUGAAAUAAAUCAGUCACAGACUAACAUUCUCAGC